AGACAGGCUAAAUUUGGAGGAGACAAGUUUGGGAGCAGGAAAGCCAGUAGGAGUCUACUGCAGGAAUUUAGCUUUCAAAUCUGUACCUGUUGAUGAGAGAACCUCCAGGUUUGUCCCCUACUACCAAUGAUGAGGCAAACACAGAGAGAGGAACCCCUUUGACUAAAGCUGAAUUGUAAAGGACUAAAGCCCUAACUUCUCUUCGAAUGACCUGCAUUCAAAUCAAGUAAGCAGCUGUUCAAAGAAUUCAGUCGGAGGUAUGACUUGUGCAGUGAGAGUUGAAAACGCAAAUCCUGUUCUGUACCUCCCUGUUUAAAGCAUUGCACUGGCUCCUCGUUGCCUUCAGGAUAAAGUCUAUAUUCCCUCCACAUCUCCUUCCCUACUCCUCCAGCAUUCUGACUGGCUGAGCCAACUACUCUUACCCCAGUACAGACAACCUAACUUUGCAGAACUACUCACAAUUCCUAAACACCAUCGAGGAUCAAGCCUCUGCCUUUUUCCCUUCAACAUUUUACUAUGAAAAUUUUCAAAAAUAAAAUUUUAAAAAUUUA
Homo sapiens (human) is the source of this 551-nucleotide long non-coding RNA. RefSeq lists it as uncharacterized. Lineage: Eukaryota; Metazoa; Chordata; Mammalia; Primates; Hominidae. The transcript is spliced from 2 exons. The record is from RefSeq and is a predicted model, not a curated record.